This 492-nucleotide ribosomal RNA is filed under the name uncultured bacterium. Its description in RNAcentral is "partial 16S ribosomal RNA". It matches the Rfam family "Bacterial small subunit ribosomal RNA", at positions 29 to 507 of the family's 1533-position model. The record is from RNAcentral.
AGUGAACGCUGGCGGUAGGCCUAACACAUGCAAGUCGAACGGCAGCACAGUAAGAGCUUGCUCUUACGGGUGGCGAGUGGCGGACGGGUGAGGAAUACAUCGGAAUCUACUUUUUCGUGGGGGAUAACGUAGGGAAACUUACGCUAAUACCUCAUACGACCUACGGGUGAAAGCAGGGGAUCUUCGGACCUUGCGCGAUUGAAUGAGCCGAUGUCGGAUUAGCUAGUUGGCGGGGUAAAGGCCCACCAAGGCGACGAUCCGUAGCUGGUCUGAGAGGAUGAUCAGCCACACUGGAACUGAGACACGGUCCAGACUCCUACGGGAGGCAGCAGUGGGGAAUAUUGGACAAUGGGCGCAAGCCUGAUCCAGCCAUACCGCGUGGGUGAAGAAGGCCUUCGGGUUGUAAAGCCCUGUUGUUGGGAAAGAAAAGCAGCAGGUUAAUACCCCGCUGUUCUGACGGUACCCAAAGAAUAAGCACCGGCUAACUUCGUG